GACGAACGCUGGCGGCGUGCUUAACACAUGCAAGUCGAACGGAAAGGCCCUGCUUUUGUGGGGUGCUCGAGUGGCGAACGGGGGAGUAACACGUGAGUAACCUGCCCUUGACUUUGGGAUAACUUCAGGAAACUGGGGCUAAUACCGGAUAGGAGCUCCUGCUGCAUGGUGGGGGUUGGAAAGUUUCGGCGGUUGGGGAUGGACUCGCGGCUUAUCAGCUUGUUGGUGGGGUAGUGGCUUACCAAGGCUUUGACGGGUAGCCGGCCUGAGAGGGUGACCGGCCACAUUGGGACUGAGAUACGGCCCAGACGCCUACGGGAGGCAGCAGUGGGGAAUAUUGCACAAUGGGCGGAAGCCUGAUGCAGCAACGCCGCGUGCGGGAUGACGGCCUUCGGGUUGUAAACCGCUUUCGCCUGUGACGAAGCGUGAGUGACGGUAAUGGGUAAAGAAGCACCGGCUAACUACGUG
RNAcentral lists this ribosomal RNA (468 nucleotides) under uncultured bacterium. Its description in RNAcentral is "partial 16S ribosomal RNA". It matches the Rfam family "Bacterial small subunit ribosomal RNA", at positions 28 to 507 of the family's 1533-position model. The record is from RNAcentral.